AAUCAAACCUGCUAUCGUUUGGUUCACAGUCUGGCACUCAAUCCACUGAGCCAUACCCGCCAGGGUGGAACAGUUUUCUACUCCGUUGGUUCUUUACCAAGUACUGUAGAAGAAUAACCCUCUGAAACUUAAUAUCUUAUCAUUCCAUUCUUCCUUUGUUUAUGAUAGGUUUUCUGUGGGUAAUAAAUUAUUCUGUGAGCCCAUAGUGAAUAAUGGGAGAAACAUAUGAUCUGAAUAUAUCACUAUCACUGCAGACAGCCUCAGAAGUACACUAAAAAUCAGUUGUGAAUUGCAUAUCUCCAACAAUAGAUGUGGGAACCAAAUAGGAAGGUGUAGUGGAAGGUGAGAGAUUUGAAAGGAAAGAAAGAAUAUUCAAAUACAUAAACCACCAAAUUGGGAGGUUAAGAAGAUAAGAUACUGGCCAGAAACCAAUGGACCUGUGGAACACUGGAUAUAGACAGGAAAUGGAGCAAAGAUGUUGCAAAGUUGUAUUAUUUGUUUGGACCAGACUAUAAUUAAUACCUGUGUGAUCUGAUACCUGUAUUUUUGUAGAUAUAGUUUUAUGCUCUUUAGAAUUUCUUCCCCCUCCCAGUAUUUCGUUUAAAAACCAGUCUAUUUGAUUUGUGUUAAUAAGGAACACCACUGAAGGAUGUUAGUUAAUAUCUCUUAAGUUCUGGUUUCUUCAGAAGAUGAUAACCUGUCUUUUUAAGUUUACUAGAAGCAUCCAAAUGAGGUAAUUAAUGAAAAGUCCUUGUCACAACCUAAACACUCAGUGAAUAUUAGUGACUUAAAUGGAGUUUAUACCCUUAUAGAUUAAGUUCUGCCAAAUUUGUAUGUACUGUUU
Molecule: long non-coding RNA, 844 nt
Organism: Phyllostomus discolor (pale spear-nosed bat)
Lineage: Eukaryota; Metazoa; Chordata; Mammalia; Chiroptera; Phyllostomidae
Exons: 2
Source: RefSeq, a predicted model, not a curated record